UGACUUUCGGAGGAGGUAAUGACCAGUUCCAUUGAUGCCUUUCGGUAUUGUGGAUAGGGGUACGGUUUUCCACCGUACCGAAACCUAGCAGAGGGCCAGUCUGGUGCCAGCAGCUGCGGUAAUUCCAGCUCUGCGAGUUUGCUCCCAUAUUGUUGCAGUUAAAACGCCCGUAGUCUGAAUUGGCCAGCAAUGGUCGUAUGUAUUUAUACGUUCACUGUGAACAAAUCAGGACGCUUAGAGUAUGGCUACAUGAAUGACUCAGCGCAGUAUGAAGUCUUUGUUUUCUUCCGAAAACAAGCUCAACGAGAGCCAUCGGGGGUAGAUCUAUCUCAUGACGAGUGGUGGAAUACUUUGACUCAUGAGAGAGAAUCUGAGGCGAAGGCGUCUACCUAGAGGGUUUCUGUCGAUCAAGGGCGAGAGUAGGAGUAUCCAACAGGAUUAGAGACCCUGGUAGUUCCUACCUUAAACGAUGCCGACAGGAGUUUGUCACUUAUUAGUGGCAGAAUCUUUGGAGAAAUCAUAGUUCUUGGGCUCUGGGGGAACUACGACCGCAAGGCUGAAACUUGAAGGAAUUGACGGAAGGGCACACCAGGGGUGGAGCCUGUGGCUUAAUUUGAAUCAACACGGGGAAACUUACCAGGACCAGAUGUUUUUUAUGACUGACAGGCUUUGGGUCUUUCAGGAUAUUGCUUUUGGUGGUGCAUGGCCGUUGGUGGUGCGUGGGUUGACCUGUCUAGCGUUGAUUCAGCUAACGAGCGAGAUUAUCGCCAAUUAUCUACUUCGUCUAAGUCUUUAGAUGGAAGUUCUAAUUGGGACUCCCUGCGAUUUUAGCAGGUGGAAGAGGGUAGCAAUAACAGGUCCGUGAUGCCCUUUAGAUGCUCUGGGCUGCACGCGUGCUACAAUGUUAGGAUCAAUAGGACUGCAAAGCCGAGAGGCCGCGCUACUCUUAUAAUCCCUAACGUAGUUGGGAUUGACGUUUGUAAUCAGCGUCAUGAACCAGGAAUCCCUUGUAAAUGUGUGUCAACAACGCACGUUGAAUACGUCCCUGCCCUUUGUACACACCGCCCGUCGCUCCUACCGAUUGGAUGACUCGGUGAAAUCACCGGAUGCUUACGAGCAGAAAGUGAU
Molecule: ribosomal RNA, 1128 nt
Filed under: Trichomonas gallinae
Lineage: Eukaryota; Parabasalia; Trichomonadida; Trichomonadidae
Description: SSU rRNA
Rfam family: Eukaryotic small subunit ribosomal RNA
Source: RNAcentral